AAAAUCCGUCGACUUUAUAAGUCGUGAGGGUUCAAGUCCCUCUAUCCCCA
RNAcentral lists this transfer RNA (50 nucleotides) under Avena sativa (oats). Its description in RNAcentral is "partial tRNA-Leu". RNAcentral also lists the same sequence under 566 other names. Lineage: Eukaryota; Viridiplantae; Streptophyta; Magnoliopsida; Poales; Poaceae. The record is from RNAcentral.